Leucoraja erinaceus (little skate) is the source of this 108-nucleotide small nuclear RNA. The record is from RefSeq and is a predicted model, not a curated record. Lineage: Eukaryota; Metazoa; Chordata; Chondrichthyes; Rajiformes; Rajidae.
GUGCUCGCUUUGGCAGCACAUAUACUAAAAUUGGAACGAUACAGAGAAUAUUAGCAUGGCCCCUGCGCAAGGUUGACACGCAAAAAAAAAUAAUAAUUAAAAAAAUAU